UAGAAAAGAAGUUACAUGGUUCUGUUGCCCAAGGAGGUGUGCCAAGAAGUCAGCUGUGAUUAAAGAGGCUGGUGUCUUAUAACCUGGCUCAUGGCUUUCAGUCCUUUACAAAUUGUUUCUGAACGGUAGUGGGGAGACCUUCACUUGGCCCAAAGCCACAAAACUGGCAUGGACAGCUUCAAAAAGAGAAAAAAUACAAAAAUAAAGCAAGAAGAUAAAUAUAAAUGGAAAAAAAUGAAGCUUCACUCUUUUAUCUGUUGUGGAAAACAAUAAAAAAGCACGGCAUGGAGCCUGCCAGCACAGAUCUGAAGAACAGAGGCAAUCAAUUGGAUGGAUGCAGAGCUAGCCCUGAGGUUCAGGUUUGCACUCUGGUGUCAUCGCUCAUUCCAUUCUCUGGGCUGGAGACUUCUGAGGUGCUGGGGUCCCAACGGAACAACAACAACACAACAACAACAACAACAACAACAACAACAAAAAUCCCUAUACAAGGGAGAGAAAUCAGGAAAUAGAAAACCAAAUAGAACUUUGUAUCCAGACGACGGGAUUUCUGAAGACAGUCAUUGUGUAACAGUUUCCUCUGAGGUAGAAGCAUUCUAUCUUGCAAGAAAGUUCCUUAAAUAGGAAGGUAAACAACUCAAAAUAGCUUCAGGAAGUUCCUGAAACUGAACAGAUUCUCUAGGCUCUGCCCUGCCAGAGGAAGCAAGAGUUGAGAGUGUCUCUUAGGCCUAAGGAAGCUGAGCUACUGUAUAGAAGGCUCUCAGAUGAGCUAACGUAAGUGUUGAGACCACUGUCUGGAAGAAGCAGCCUCUAACGGAGGUUCCUGGAAAGGACAGUCUACAACCUGAUGAGCUGCCUGAAGGCUAUGCAAUGUGUUCCAGGUUCCCAGCUCUGUGAGCCAGCUAUCACCUGUGCUGGGGUGGUGAUACAGCAAUCUUUGAGUCAUUUCUGCCCCUGUAAGUAGCCCCAGUAAAACACAUUGCUCACCAAAUUGGACUUUGGUGGUAUCUGUACUUUGGUCUGUCAGUGGGUGAGUAAGCUUGUGUGUUGGAUCUCCCAAGGAAAAGGUUUGUUACAUAACAAGGAGGAACAGUGAAAUCUCUCUCAAGUUUCUCAAGUUUAGUUCUAGGAGGAAGAGUUGCUGAAGCAGGGGGCUUGGAGCAAGUGGGAUCCUUGAGAGGGAAGAAGGAGGCCCUGGUUAAAAAAAAAAGUGACACUAAGCAGAGAUAGGCCAGGGGCAGGUGAUCUUUUUGACUAUUUUAGCUGGACAUAGAAAGGAUAGCCUAAAGAAAACAGGAGGGUGUUCAGGGCCCCUCCUAAAGUAUUUGCACAACACCGAUGGAAACAUGAUUAGUUAUUUGAUUGAUGAUUGCUCUGAGAAGGCCAUCAGAGUGGGGCUGAUAUGAGUGGGGGAUUCCCUCUGACUGAACAUGUUUCUGACUCUCAACAAUUGGGCCUUUGAAUAUAUUAUCUAUUUAGAAAAAAAAAAAAAAAGCAACAAACAGGACCCCAAGAUGGCUUAGGAGGUAAAGGCGCUUGCGACCAAGCCUGAUGAACUGGAUUUGAUCCCUAAGCCCCACGUGGUAAAUGGUGAGAACUGACUCCCCAGAAUUGUUAUCUGGUCCUCGUAUGUAUGUUUUAGUAUGCAAAUAUGCAUACCUACCAUACACCCAUGUACAAAUACAUAAAUGUAAUAAGAAUAUUUUCAAAAGAAAAGAAUAACCAAUAGAUACAUUCAUGAAUAUAGAAAUGGGAGUGGAUUCAGAGGACUUUAUUAUAGUGAGCAGAAAUGUAACAGAAAUGCUUAAGCUGGGAGAGGAUUGUUUUUCUGGACUAUAAUGUUUUGUUAAGUCCUCCAAAGGUUUCAAACAUGGCAAUUUUGGCUACACCACAUGAAAUUACUAUAUUUGAGGUCCACAAUGUCAGGGUUAUUGACAAUUUCACUUUGCUUAACUCAGGGUUUCUCAGCUUUGGCAUGGUUGACAUUUUAGUAAUCCCUUGUUGUACUGUGGGACAGUCUUCUAUGUAGGAUGCUUAGCUGCAUCCUGGACUCUACCCACUAGAGGCUAGGGACACUUCUCCAGAAGUGGUAAUUUUUAAUGAGUUGUUUGUUUGUUUGUUUUGUUUUGUUUGUCUGUAACAGCCCUGAUAACAUAUCGUGUGGGACUGAGAAAAAAAAAAAAAAAAAAGCAGGGCUCUCAUACAAGCAUUUAUUCAGAAUUUUAAGACAGAAAUCUCGUAGGGGUCUGUGGUAAAGCCUUUGCCUGACAUUUCAAGACCCUGUAGUAGGGCUAUGGGGCUGGCUUGGGAAGUGGAAUUGCUUGUUUCCUGAUGACCUGGGUAUUAUCCACCAGACCCUUGUAGAAAGCCAGAAGUGGUGACAGAUCUAUAAUCCAGUAUUGCUACUUCAAGACGGGAAGCAGAGAUAAUCUAAUGCUUUUAAGGCUCCAUACACAUGUUUAGAGUCACAGAGUGACUUAAGGAAAAAGAAUAAAAUCGCAGGGAAUCUUAAAACACACAAACACACACACACACACACAAACACACACACACACACACACACACACACACACACACACACACGAGUGUUAAGGGAAGAAGGGUUUGGAUGGCAGCCAUAUCUGGCCCGCCACCUGUUUUUGUAAAUAAAGCUCCUUUGGAACACAGCCAUACUCAUCUGUUGACAUAUUGGCAGGGGCUGCUUUUGUGCCGUAAGAGCAGAAUUGAGACGUUGCAUCAGGGAGUGUAUGGCCCAGAAAGCCUAAAAUAUUUACUGUCUGGCCCUUUAUAGCCAAAUUUGCCAAUGUUGUUUUGGUUGAUUGAGCUUUCCGUCUGUGGUGGCAGAGGAUGAGAAGCUGCCUGGAACCCCUUGGGUGUGUGGCUCUCUCACCCUUCCUACCCAUAAAGCUACAGCAGUUAGCAUUCUUAAUGGGAGGUAAAAGCUUAUUUGGAUAAAGGAGAAAGAUGUGUCAGAAGUGUUGGGAGCAGGAGCUCACAGUAUCAAGAGUGGCCUAAUGCAGAUACAGAGGAGAAAAUGCCUUGCUUUCUUGGGCUGCACGGCUCCCCAGCUCCCUUGCUGCCCAGAGACUGUGAGAAUAUUAGCUGGAUGGAAAACAUUCAGGUGUUUAGAGACUUUCCUGGGUUGGGUGAAAGGUAUAGUGCGCAUUAAUUUUCCUGUUAUCCACACAGGUUCAUUUCGUUCUUAAUAUGCUUUUGUACUUUGCUGGUUUUUUUUUUUUUUUCAUUAAAAAAAAAUUACAUUUCUUAGGGGAAGUGUUUGAAAGCAGUUGAAAGGAAGGAGGUUUGAUGGCAACUCAAGUAGUUUUGCAUGACUAAUAAUAAUUAUUAUGAUGAUAGUUUCCUGCCUAAGCCUUCUCAGUGGGUAAUAUUUGCAAAUUAAACACACUAUAAAAUAUUCAGCCCCUUGCUACCAACUCGGGUGAUUUGCAUAAUCCCCCCUGCAUGGGCUCUGGAGUGAACCAUUCCCUAAUUAAUUAUUUAAUUCCCAUCUGUACAGUGUGAACAAGCUAAUGAAAUUCCGGCAGGCUGAGCAAAGCUGAGGCUCCUCUUUGGAGAUGGGUCCUGGUUUCCUCAGGCAUGAGCCCUUCCAGCCAGGGGUCACUUCCCAAC
RNAcentral lists this long non-coding RNA (3627 nucleotides) under Cricetulus griseus (Chinese hamster). RNAcentral's name for it is "lncRNA (ENSCGRG00000024787.1)". The record is from RNAcentral. Lineage: Eukaryota; Metazoa; Chordata; Mammalia; Rodentia; Cricetidae.